Molecule: ribosomal RNA, 253 nt
Filed under: uncultured bacterium
Lineage: Bacteria
Description: partial 16S ribosomal RNA
Rfam family: Bacterial small subunit ribosomal RNA
Source: RNAcentral
UACAGAGGGUGCGAGCGUUAAUCGGAAUUACUGGGCGUAAAGCGCGCGUAGGCGGCUUUGCAAGUCGGGUGUGAAAUCCCCGGGCUUAACCUGGGAAUGGCAUUUGGGACUGCAAGGCUGGAGUGUGGCAGAGGAGACUGGAAUUCCUGGUGUAGCAGUGAAAUGCGUAGAUAUCAGGAGGAACACCCGUGGCGAAGGCGGCCCCCUGGGCCGAACCUGACGCUGAGGCGCGAAGGCUAGGGGAGCGAACGGG